This is a long non-coding RNA of Topomyia yanbarensis, 1339 nucleotides long. RefSeq lists it as uncharacterized. The transcript has 5 exons. The record is from RefSeq and is a predicted model, not a curated record. NCBI's taxonomy places the organism in Eukaryota, Metazoa, Arthropoda, Insecta, Diptera, Culicidae.
CUCAACCGUGAUGGAUCUUCCGGCUCCUGCAGCCAGUAUUUUAGGUUAUUAUAAUUGCGCGUGAUUGAUCCGGUUAUUUCAGCGAUAGCAGCCAAGCUUAUGCGCUUUUUGCUGGAGACGAAAUCGUCAGAUAACAACAUCAACUGCCGUCAAUAUGUACGAACUGACAGCGGUUGGGGUUGGAACCUUGAGGUUGGACCUGAGUUUCGCAGCCAACGGCAUUAGUAACCGAGACAAAUAAAGGGAAGAACCACUAUGGAGCGGCAGCUCGUUCAGUGAGCCCUUUGCGCGACUUCCGAAGGGACAAGUAACCAGAUUGAUUUUGUCUACUGGGUAAUUGUACUCAUCUUGCUCGAUCAUCUUCACUGGUACUAAGGAUAGAACAGGAAAUUUUGAUGUGAUACCUACGUAAAGGUAAGCCACGGACUCAGCGACGCUUCCAUAAGUAUUACGGAGUUGGAUUGCAGAACAGGUAUUGUCUAGAAUUCGCCACAAACAGACAAUGCGACCACAAAAUGAAUAUGGUUUUAUGCGGUUGUUUGGUUAGUCUCCGAGCACGCGAAUAUUCAGAGCAAACCUAUAUUUGGGUGACGCCAGAUUGCGCUGGAUGAUCAUGCUAUCAAAGCACGACGAAUACGCAUGGAAACAACAUGUCAAUUAUAAAUAGUUUAACCGCUGAUGAGCAAUCAGGUGAUAUGUUCGAUUAGCACGACAUGCAGUUCUGGUUAUUUUCCGUCGGCCUUUUUCCGCUACGAGGCCAAGCACCGACACCAGAGAGGUAACGACUCCCACUAUCUGGACUAGAUAUCCACCCAUCAACUCAUGGACCCAUUCGUUUUCGAGCUCUCCAUCGAGACAGAGGUUGUUUUUUCUAGUCCGUAGUGCUGUGUGAGUCGAUAAAGAAUAGUGUUAAUCCGCAUUCAAGGUUAUUUUGCCAGUUCGGUUCGGUCCUCAGUCUUUUGUUCGCGUGUGAGGAUUAAACAAUAGCCAGCUAUAUAAGCUGGAUCGGUUCGUCGUUGGACACCAGUUUAAAGCUAAGUGGUUUUUGUCUUUUGUAACACAUUUAUUGCUUUCUUCCGUCUGCGCGGGCGCUGACCCCGUGCGUUGACGUUUUCUAUGGUUCCCUCUCCGGAUGGUCAAAUGGAAGUUGAAUCGGGUUCAACUUGUAAGGCUCCCCCCGGCCCAAAUGCUAUCCAGAACUCUCAACUGGUCCAUUUGUGGUCUUCUUUCGGCCCAAGACUAAAUCACUGAAUCUUCUUCAGAUUUCUAGAGACCUGACGGAACGGUUCUCGGCUGUGACCGAAAUUUCAAAGGUCCGCUCGGACAAGAUAAGGGUGUU